AUACGGAGGAUGCAAGCGUUAUCCGGAUUUAUUGGGUUUAAAGGGUGCGUAGGCUGUUUGGAAAGUCAGGGGUGAAAGCCCGGCGCCUAACGCCGGAACUGCCUUUGAUACUUCCGAGCUGGAGUACGGAUGCCGUGGGAGGAAUGAGUAGUGUAGCGGUGAAAUGCAUAGAUAUUACUCAGAACACCGAUUGCGAAGGCAGCUCACGAAUCCGUCAUUGACGAUGAGGCACGAAAGCGUGUGGAUCAAACAGGAUUAGAUACCCUGGUAAUCCACGCAGUAGACGGUGAUGACUAACCGUCGGCGAUACACAGUCGGUGGCCAAGCGAAAGCGAUAAGUCAUCCACCUGGGGAGUACGACCGCAAGGUUGAAACUCAAAUGAAUUGACGGGG
RNAcentral lists this ribosomal RNA (393 nucleotides) under uncultured bacterium. Its description in RNAcentral is "partial 16S ribosomal RNA". It matches the Rfam family "Bacterial small subunit ribosomal RNA", at positions 523 to 918 of the family's 1533-position model. The record is from RNAcentral.